AUCGCUGCGGUUGCGAGCGCUGU
This 23-nucleotide microRNA is filed under the name Pongo pygmaeus (Bornean orangutan). RNAcentral's name for it is "ppy-miR-639". Its record names the gene ppy-miR-639. Lineage: Eukaryota; Metazoa; Chordata; Mammalia; Primates; Hominidae. The record is from miRBase by way of RNAcentral. RNAcentral also lists the same sequence under 1 other name.